AUUGAACGCUGGCGGCAGGCCUAACACAUGCAAGUCGAGCGGAUGAAGGGAGCUUGCUCCUGGAUUCAGCGGCGGACGGGUGAGUAAUGCCUAGGAAUCUGCCUGGUAGUGGGGGAUAACGUCCGGAAACGGGCGCUAAUACCGCAUACGUCCUGAGGGAGGAAGUGGGGGAUCUUCGGACCUCACGCUAUCAGAUGAGCCUAGGUCGGAUUAGCUAGUUGGUGGGGUAAAGGCCUACUAAGGCGACGAUCCGUAACUGGUCUGAGAGGAUGAUCAGUCACACUGGAACUGAGACACGGUCCAGACUCCUACGGGAGGCAGCAGUGGGGAAUAUUGGACAAUGGGCGAAAGCCUGAUCCAGCCAUGCCGCGUGUGUGAAGAAGGUCUUCGGAUUGUAAAGCACUUUAAGUUGGGAGGAAGGGCAGUAAGUUAAUACCUUGCUGUUUUGACGUUACCAACAGAAUAAGCACCGGCUAACUUCGUG
This 484-nucleotide ribosomal RNA is filed under the name uncultured bacterium. Its description in RNAcentral is "partial 16S ribosomal RNA". It matches the Rfam family "Bacterial small subunit ribosomal RNA", at positions 30 to 507 of the family's 1533-position model. The record is from RNAcentral.